AACGAACGCUGGCGGCAUGCCUAACACAUGCAAGUCGAACGAAACCUUCGGGUCUAGUGGCGCACGGGUUCGUAACGCCUGGGAACCAGCACUUAGGUUCGGAAUAACUCCCCGAAGGGUGUGCUAAUACCGGAUAAUGUCUUCGGACCAAAGAUCUCUCGCUUUUGGAUGGGCCCGCGUUGGAUUAGCUAGUUGGUAGGGUAAAAGCCUACCAAGGCGACGUUCCAGAGCUGGUUUGAGAGGAUGAUCAGCCACACUGGAACUGAGACACGGCCCAGACUCCUACGGGGCGGAGCAGUGGGGAAUAUUAGACGAUGGGGGAAAGUCUGAUCAAGCAACGCCGCGUGAGAGAUGAAGGGCUUAGGGUUGUAAUGCUCUUUUACACGGGAUGAUAAUGACGGUACCGGGAGAAUAAGCUCCGGCUAACUCCGUG
This 433-nucleotide ribosomal RNA is filed under the name uncultured bacterium. Its description in RNAcentral is "partial 16S ribosomal RNA". It matches the Rfam family "Bacterial small subunit ribosomal RNA", at positions 29 to 507 of the family's 1533-position model. The record is from RNAcentral.